GCUCAAAUAGCUUAUAAUUAGAGCAUGACAUUGAAGAUGUUAAGGAAAUAUUUAACAUUUUUGAGCA
RNAcentral lists this transfer RNA (67 nucleotides) under Traulia nigritibialis. RNAcentral's name for it is "tRNA-Phe". It matches the Rfam family "tRNA". Rfam says of the family: Transfer RNA (tRNA) molecules are approximately 80 nucleotides in length. The record is from RNAcentral. Lineage: Eukaryota; Metazoa; Arthropoda; Insecta; Orthoptera; Acrididae.